Molecule: long non-coding RNA, 387 nt
Organism: Mytilus californianus (California mussel)
Lineage: Eukaryota; Metazoa; Mollusca; Bivalvia; Mytilida; Mytilidae
Exons: 3
Source: RefSeq, a predicted model, not a curated record
UCCACCACAACAUUUGUCAACCAGACAGGAGAGUUUACAAAUAUAUGUGAAAUGUGCAAAGAACCAAAUGCAGAAGCGGUAGCUGUAGUAGCAGGAUCGCCUGUACCCCCCAGUCAGUCUCUUGACUGUAAUAUACCAUCAAUGUGUUCUCCACCUGGUACAGUAUGUACUUCGAAUGACAUCAUCCCGAAGGGUUCGGGAUGUCCAGGUCAAACGACAGAAACCACGACAACAACUACCUCUGAAACAACAACAACUACUCCUGAACAUUCAACUACAUCUGAACAUUGCAGCAAGAUCAAUUACAGACAUCCGUUAUUUCGUCAUAUAAGAACACAUGGCAAAUAACAAAUACAGCAGUCUAAAACGUAAAUAAAAAUCAUUUGA